AGUGAACGCUGGCGGUAGGCCUAACACAUGCAAGUCGAACGGCAGCACAGUAAGAGCUUGCUCUUACGGGUGGCGAGUGGCGGACGGGUGAGGAAUACAUCGGAAUCUACUUUUUCGUGGGGGAUAACGUCGGGAAACUUACGCUAAUACCGCAUACGACCUCCGGGUGAAAGCAGGGGAUCUUCGGACCUUGUGCGAUUGAAUGAGCCGAUGUCGGAUUAGCUAGUUGGCGGGGUAAAGGCCCACCAAGGCGACGAUCCGUAGCUGGUCUGAGAGGAUGAUCAGCCACACUGGAACUGAGACACGGUCCAGACUCCUACGGGAGGCAGCAGUGGGGAAUAUUGGACAAUGGGCGCAAGCCUGAUCCAGCCAUACCGCGUGGGUGAAGAAGGCCUUCGGGUUGUAAAGCCCUUUUGUUGGGAAAGAAAAGCAGCAGGUUAAUACCCCGCUGUUCUGACGGUACCCAAAGAAUAAGCACCGGCUAACUUCGUG
Molecule: ribosomal RNA, 492 nt
Filed under: uncultured bacterium
Lineage: Bacteria
Description: partial 16S ribosomal RNA
Rfam family: Bacterial small subunit ribosomal RNA
Source: RNAcentral